AUGGCGGCGGCGGUGCAGAACGAGGUGGUGGCGCGGCAGGGGCGCGAGGACGGCGUCGACGAGGAGCGGCCACUCCUGGCGAGGCCGCCGGCCGUCCGCGACGACCCAGCUGGCGACGGGCUGAGCCCGAUGCAGAGGGCAAUCAGCCAGACGUACCAGAGCACGGCGCACCUGGCGACGCUGCUGCCCACGGGCACCGUCAUGGCGUUCCAGCUGCUGUCCCCGAUCGUCACGGACCAGGGCCACUGCGUCCGCGCCAACCGCGCCAUGGCGGCCGCGCUCGUCGCGCUCUGCGCGCUCUCCUGCUUCGCGCUCAGCUUCACCGACAGCUUCCGGGACGCCAAGGGCGCCGUGCGCUACGGCUUUGCCACGCGCCGCGGGCUCUGGGUCAUCGACGGCGGCGCGCCGCUCGACCCGCAGGCCGCGGCAGCCUACAGGCUGCGCUUCCUCGACCUCGUGCACGCCGUCGUCACCGUCAUGGUCUUCGUGGCCGUCGCGCUCUUGGACCGCAACGUCGUGUCCUGCUUCUACCCCGUGCCGUCCGAGGACGCCGCGCAGGUGCUCACCGUGCUGCCCAUCGCCAUUGGGGUGGUCGGGAGCAUGCUCUUCGUCACCUUCCCCACCACACGCCACGGCAUCGGCUUCCCGCUCUCGCAGCAUUGA
RNAcentral lists this ribosomal RNA (663 nucleotides) under Triticum aestivum (bread wheat). RNAcentral describes it as "partial small subunit ribosomal RNA". The record is from RNAcentral. Lineage: Eukaryota; Viridiplantae; Streptophyta; Magnoliopsida; Poales; Poaceae.